Molecule: transfer RNA, 76 nt
Filed under: Alphaproteobacteria bacterium
Lineage: Bacteria; Pseudomonadati; Pseudomonadota; Alphaproteobacteria
Description: tRNA-Thr
Rfam family: tRNA
About the family: Transfer RNA (tRNA) molecules are approximately 80 nucleotides in length. Their secondary structure includes four short double-helical elements and three loops (D, anti-codon, and T loops). Further hydrogen bonds mediate the characteristic L-shaped molecular structure. tRNAs have two regions of fundamental functional importance: the anti-codon, which is responsible for specific mRNA codon recognition, and the 3' end, to which the tRNAs corresponding amino acid is attached (by aminoacyl-tRNA synthetases). tRNAs cope with the degeneracy of the genetic code in two manners: having more than one tRNA (with a specific anti-codon) for a particular amino acid; and 'wobble' base-pairing, i.e. permitting non-standard base-pairing at the 3rd anti-codon position.
Source: RNAcentral
GCCCCAAUAGUAUACUGGCUGAUUACACGUCAUUGGUAAUGACGAAAGGGAAGUUCAAUUCUUCCUUGGGGCACCA